This 74-nucleotide transfer RNA is filed under the name Caerostris darwini. RNAcentral describes it as "tRNA-Arg". It matches the Rfam family "tRNA". Rfam says of the family: Transfer RNA (tRNA) molecules are approximately 80 nucleotides in length. Their secondary structure includes four short double-helical elements and three loops (D, anti-codon, and T loops). The record is from RNAcentral. Lineage: Eukaryota; Metazoa; Arthropoda; Arachnida; Araneae; Araneidae.
GGGACAGUGGCACAACGGAUAACGCGCCUGACUACGGAUCAGCUGAUUCCCUGUUCAAAUCAUGGCUGGCUCCA